Molecule: unclassified non-coding RNA, 321 nt
Filed under: rhizosphere metagenome
Description: partial ribosomal RNA internal transcribed spacer region
Source: RNAcentral
GUAGGUGAACCUGCGGAGGGAUCAUUAACAUCAACACGUAUGGGUGACAGUCUCUCGGAUUGUCACUCCAUCCAACACCACUGCGAAUCGAUUCACAAUCUCCCGUGUGUGCCUGAGUCUGUGUGUGUGUUUGUGUGUCAGCGGCUUGUUUGCUGUACACAUACACAUUCACACUCACACACACACAUAUAUAUACACAUUUUUACUCCUCCUUUCAUACACCUAUACACAAUCUGAUGUCACCACAUACACAUCUGUGUGUGUGCCUGACACUCAUCUAAUCAAUUUAUACCACUCCUAGCAAUGGAUAUCUUGGUUCUC